CACUCACGUGCCAAAGCAAAAAGCCAUAUUCUGAAAUCUCUCGUCAGGAGACUGGAACCGGGCCACACCGCGCCCGAGUCGCGCAAACUCCGCAGCGGUGGCGGGCCAUUCCGGCGGCCGGAGUAGCGAGGCUCUAGUCUAGACCGUUGAUGCCUCUUCGGCGGCUUGUUCCGCACCCAGCCUGCGGUGGUGGACUGGCGGUUCCGUCCUCGUCCUGCUUGGCAUAUGGCAAAUGGCAUGGGCUGCGGCUGCGGCGGCUGGCGCGAGCAGUGGGAGCUACGGCUGCAGCCUGCAGAGAAGGAAAGUGUUUCCCGGACCGUCAUUUCGCCUACGUGAAUAUCAUGCUGCCCAAUGUAUGCUGAUGUCCUCUGAGGGACAAAUUCAUCCAUGUCAUGACCAUUGAUCUCGAAGUUCAUAAUCAAGAAAGUAUUCUAAGAUGUGGUACCUUCAGAGUUGAGUCAAGUUUCCCUGACAAAGCCAGAAGUAGACUUGUUUUCCCGGAUCCAGGGGGACCAAGCAGCAGAGACAUUCUGAACAGAUAGGCAAUAGAAGCAUGAAGGUGCCGCUGCAGAUGAGAUGCAUACCAUGAUUUUGUUGGAGAAGAAGUUGGUCAUCGUCGGGAUACCCCGGUUGCCGACGUAGGCCUCUGCAUCGAUGUUCAGAUCAUUUCUCAAGUGCUUCUGAGUUGCUUUCAGAGGUGAUCAAGGAUUGGAGAUGAAGAAGUGGAUUUGCUCACCGCUCCAUACGGUCACGGAGCUUGAGCAGGAAGCGCUCGUUGUCCUCCUCGGCGGUGCGUACAAGGCGCUCAAUGAGGUUCUUGCGCUCCUCCAUGCCGAGCCCCUGGAUGUCCACCUCCUCGAAGCCUGCGCCGGCGCCCGUGAGGAUGCCCUUGCGCAUGCGGUCGUAGGUGGGCAGCUUCUCGAUGGCCGCCCAUCGCAGCGCCUCCUCGUCGUCCUCCUCCCGCACGGACCGGCCGAAAGCGUCGCUCCGCCCUGACGCCCGCCACGACGACGCCGUCCGCCGCAUGCUCCCGCUGGCGAUGCUCCCCAUCCGCACUAAAUCCAUCCUCGACUGAUGUCAAACCCGCCCUCCGUUCUUUGUCUUUCCCGACAAUCACUUCUCCAGUUCUCCCUGCUUGAGCUUGACUCUGUUCUUGUCUUUCUGCAGCAGCUGUAGGCUUGUGUGUUGAUCUCCGUGAAGAAGACGAGGAAGAGGAAGAGGAAGAGGAAGGGAGAGACAAGAGAGGUGUGAAUGUCUGAGGAACGAGGAGGUGGCGAUUGAGGUAUAAAUACCUGCGCGCGCUAAUGCUCGUCGGGGAAGAUGAUUAGCGCGUGCGAACUGCUCUCAGGUGGCGGGCGCGUCGUUGACUUUGACUCGCGGGAAAUUCGGCCGUUGUACUAGUUUUAUUGCUUUCCAAAAAUUGCGACUCUUGCCUAGCGUAAAUAGUUUGACCGUUUGAAUUGAA
Molecule: long non-coding RNA, 1465 nt
Organism: Sorghum bicolor (sorghum)
Lineage: Eukaryota; Viridiplantae; Streptophyta; Magnoliopsida; Poales; Poaceae
Exons: 5
Source: RefSeq, a predicted model, not a curated record